GUCUAUGGUCACGCAGCCCCGAACAGGCCCGAUCCCGUCUGAUCUCAGAAGCUAAGCAGGGUCGAGCGUGGCCAGUACUUGGAUGGGAGACCGCCCGGAAAUGCCGGGUGCUGUAGGCA
Molecule: ribosomal RNA, 119 nt
Filed under: Pteropus alecto (black flying fox)
Lineage: Eukaryota; Metazoa; Chordata; Mammalia; Chiroptera; Pteropodidae
Source: RNAcentral